RNAcentral lists this ribosomal RNA (497 nucleotides) under uncultured bacterium. RNAcentral's name for it is "partial 16S ribosomal RNA". It matches the Rfam family "Bacterial small subunit ribosomal RNA", at positions 28 to 507 of the family's 1533-position model. The record is from RNAcentral.
GAUGAACGCUGGCGGCGUGCCUAAUACAUGCAAGUCGAGCGAACAGACGAGGAGCUUGCUCCUCUGACGUUAGCGGCGGACGGGUGAGUAACACGUGGAUAACCUACCUAUAAGACUGGGAUAACUUCGGGAAACCGGAGCUAAUACCGGAUAACAUGUUGAACUGCAUGGUUCAACAGUGAAAGACGGUCUUGCUGUCACUUAUAGAUGGAUCCGCGCCGCAUUAGCUAGUUGGUAAGGUAACGGCUUACCAAGGCAACGAUGCGUAGCCGACCUGAGAGGGUGAUCGGCCACACUGGAACUGAGACACGGUCCAGACUCCUACGGGAGGCAGCAGUAGGGAAUCUUCCGCAAUGGGCGAAAGCCUGACGGAGCAACGCCGCGUGAGUGAAGAAGGUCUUCGGAUCGUAAAACUCUGUUAUUAGGGAAGAACAAAUGUGUAAGUAACUAUGCACGUCUUGACGGUACCUAAUCAGAAAGCCACGGCUAACUACGUG